UACGAAGGGGGCGAGCGUUGUUCGGAUUUACUGGGCGUAAAGGGCUCGUAGGUGGCCAACUAAGUCAGACGUGAAAUCCCUCGGCUUAACCGGGGAACUGCGUCUGAUACUGGAUGGCUUGAGGUUGGGAGAGGGAUGCGGAAUUCCAGGUGUAGCGGUGAAAUGCGUAGAUAUCCGGAGGAACACCGGUGGCGAAGGCGAGUCCCUGGACAACACCUGACACUGAGGCACGAAAGCUAGGGGAGCAAACAGG
This 253-nucleotide ribosomal RNA is filed under the name uncultured bacterium. Its description in RNAcentral is "partial 16S ribosomal RNA". It matches the Rfam family "Bacterial small subunit ribosomal RNA", at positions 524 to 776 of the family's 1533-position model. The record is from RNAcentral.